GUUAAAAUGUUGAAGGACCUAGAUGCACGCUGUCUCCAGUCAGAUGGACUAUCUUCACAGCAGGUGUGGUGUCCUUUCUCCUUGGCAUCACGGGUCUGCAUGGAGCUCGUAAGAAGAACAAGAACUUCCUGACCACGUUUUCAMUUGGAUCUUGUCUUCGAUGCAUUGGACUGGGGUUUCUGGCCUACUACCUUCCACCACAGCUUCCAAAUGUGAUGAAAGCCUGGUYUGAAGAGUACAUCCCAUUGCACACAAACGGAAGAGGUCUGGUACAAACAGUGYCGUCACUGCAAACCAUUGGGAAAUGCUGUGGAUUGGUCAAUGGGUAUGAAGAUUGGGGUUCUAAUGUCCCCUCCUCGUGUAGAUGCGAUCCUCUCGGACUAGAGUCUGUGUUCCUAACUGAGGUAAAACUGGGUAAUAGAUGUACAGAAAUUACACUAGGACUGCUCUGUACAUUCACUGUAGUACUGUAUACUGGACUGAACACUGAAAUUCAUGUAUUUUCUCCCCUGUCUACAGUAUGGCUUUGUUUACAAACAACCUUGUCUUGAUCUAGUUGUGAAGAUGUACAUGGACAUGAAUAUUGUGAGGACACCUGUAUUUUCUACAUGGUCAUUACGGCCAUUGAAAUGCUUCUGGCGUUGGUAAUGAUCCGUAGAAUCCAAAAAGCCUCCUUGGCUGAGGUGACCAUGGAUCUUAGUUAUAGAAACGCAACCAACAUGGAAAUGGCAACUACUCAAACUCCUCCCAUGCUGCCUGCCGGACAAGCUCCUCCCAUGCUGCCUGCCGGACAAGCUCUUCCCAUGCUGCCUGCCACACAAGCUCAUCUUCACGCCAGCUCUUAUUACCCGCCACCACCUCCGUACCAGUACGAUGGGAAACACUAGAGGGACGUGACUGACCUGCGAACCCAUGUUGAAUUUCCUCAUUGGUUACAACUGGACCAGGGUUAGAUUUAAGGCUAGGGUUAAGUUUAGGGUUGGGGUCAGUUUGAGUGUUUUCCUUCUUUGGACUGCCAAUGUGUUGCACCCCAAUAUACCUUAGUAAAG
This is a non-coding RNA of Salvelinus sp. IW2-2015, 1049 nucleotides long. NCBI's taxonomy places the organism in Eukaryota, Metazoa, Chordata, Actinopteri, Salmoniformes, Salmonidae. The record is from RefSeq and is a predicted model, not a curated record.